GUUCUCUUUAGUCUACACGGCAAGAAAAUACAGUUUGUCUUCUGCAGCAUAAUACAGUAGGUUUCUCAUCCUCUACCGAUGGUGAAAAAAACAGCAAGAAAUGUUAAAUGAAACAACCCAGAAACACUUAUUGCCUUGUCGUGGAAGUACUCUAAGGUCCAGCUGUAUUUAUCUCCGACAAUAUCCAAUCAUGAAUUUGGACAUACUGAUGUGGGGAGCCUGUAAAAUGACAAGACAAGAAGAUUAGCACAUGAAUCCUCAGUGUGAUGAGCAGAAGGAGAGUUUGGGAAGGAUCCUCUGGAGGAAGAGGAAACAACCAGAAAGCAGGAAAGAUUCUAGUUUUAGAAAUCUGUAAUAUCCU
Molecule: long non-coding RNA, 361 nt
Filed under: Vulpes vulpes (red fox)
Lineage: Eukaryota; Metazoa; Chordata; Mammalia; Carnivora; Canidae
Description: lncRNA (ENSVVUG00000019229.1)
Source: RNAcentral